Molecule: ribosomal RNA, 491 nt
Filed under: uncultured bacterium
Lineage: Bacteria
Description: bacterial SSU rRNA
Rfam family: Bacterial small subunit ribosomal RNA
Source: RNAcentral
GAUGAACGCUAGCGGGAGGCCUAAUACAUGCAAGUCGAGCGGUAGAGUGACUUCGGUUGCUUGAGAGCGGCGAACGGGUGAGUAACGCGUACACAAUCUACCUUUAAGAGGGGAAUAGCCCUGGGAAACUGGGAUUAAUGCCCCAUGGCAUCACGAGACGGCAUCGUUUUGUGAUUAAAGCUGAGGUGCUUAGAGAUGAGUGUGCGUCUGAUUAGCUAGUUGGUGCGGUAACGGCGCACCAAGGCGACGAUCAGUAGGGGGCGUGAGAGCGUGGACCCCCACACGGGUACUGAGACACGGACCCGACUCCUACGGGAGGCAGCAGUAAGGAAUAUUGGUCAAUGGAGGAAACUCUGAACCAGCCAUCCCGCGUGCAGGAAGAAUGCCCUAUGGGUUGUAAACUGCUUUUAUCUGGGAAGAAAAGUCGGGAUUUAUCCUGAUCUGACGGUACCAGAGGAAUAAGCACCGGCUAACUCCGUGCCAGCAGCCGC